UACGGAGGGGGCUAGCGUUGUUCGGAAUUACUGGGCGUAAAGCGCACGUAGGCGGCUUUGCAAGUUAGAGGUGAAAGCCCGGGGCUCAACUCCGGAAUUGCCUUUAAAAACUGCAUCGCUAGUAAAUUGUGGAGAGGUAAGUGGAAAUUCCGGAGUGUAGAGGUAGAAAUUCGUAGAUAUUAGGAAGAACACCAGUGGCGAAGGCGACUUACUGGACACAUAUUGACGCUGGAGGUGCGAAAAGCGUGGGGAGCAAACAGG
RNAcentral lists this ribosomal RNA (261 nucleotides) under uncultured bacterium. Its description in RNAcentral is "partial 16S ribosomal RNA". It matches the Rfam family "Bacterial small subunit ribosomal RNA", at positions 524 to 776 of the family's 1533-position model. The record is from RNAcentral.